Molecule: transfer RNA, 61 nt
Filed under: human gut metagenome
Also listed under: 1 other name
Rfam family: tRNA
About the family: Transfer RNA (tRNA) molecules are approximately 80 nucleotides in length. Their secondary structure includes four short double-helical elements and three loops (D, anti-codon, and T loops). Further hydrogen bonds mediate the characteristic L-shaped molecular structure. tRNAs have two regions of fundamental functional importance: the anti-codon, which is responsible for specific mRNA codon recognition, and the 3' end, to which the tRNAs corresponding amino acid is attached (by aminoacyl-tRNA synthetases). tRNAs cope with the degeneracy of the genetic code in two manners: having more than one tRNA (with a specific anti-codon) for a particular amino acid; and 'wobble' base-pairing, i.e. permitting non-standard base-pairing at the 3rd anti-codon position.
Source: RNAcentral
UUAGCUCAGUUGGAUAGAGCAACUGCCUUCUAAGCAGUAGGUCGAGGGUUCGAAUCCCCCA